Molecule: small nuclear RNA, 21 nt
Filed under: Arabidopsis thaliana (thale cress)
Lineage: Eukaryota; Viridiplantae; Streptophyta; Magnoliopsida; Brassicales; Brassicaceae
Description: snRNA_03279
Source: RNAcentral
GGGCUCCCCAUUCGACCCGUC